UGAUAAAACAACCUUGCAAUGUUGCUAGAAAUGUUGUUGUUUUAUUGCUGUUAUAACAUUAUAAAAGUAUAACACUUUUAAGUUAAACGUGUUUCAUCUCCAGUGUGAACGGCAUAGUGAUGAUUUAAAACUUCCUCAGCUACUCCAAGCUACUUCAGCGACUCUAGAUGCAGCUUCGAAACUUUUAUGCACAUUAAAAAAAAAUUUUAUUUUCAAUGAGCAUAAUAUGUAAAUUGAAAUCACUGAAGAAACUGAAAUCACUGAAGAAAUUGAAAUCACUGAAGAAAAUGAAAUCACUGAAGAAUACCUCUCUAGAAAUAUUAACUUAAUUCAAUUUAUUGAAUUCGUUUAUUGUUUUUUUUAGAGAUAAUGUCAAACAA
Long non-coding RNA from Hydra vulgaris (swiftwater hydra), 380 nucleotides. RefSeq lists it as uncharacterized. Lineage: Eukaryota; Metazoa; Cnidaria; Hydrozoa; Anthoathecata; Hydridae. The record is from RefSeq and is a predicted model, not a curated record.